GGGACAAGGAUGCAGACCUCC
This 21-nucleotide microRNA is filed under the name Macaca fascicularis (crab-eating macaque). RNAcentral describes it as "microRNA miR-6503-3p". Lineage: Eukaryota; Metazoa; Chordata; Mammalia; Primates; Cercopithecidae. The record is from RNAcentral.